UGAUCCUUGAGGUCCUUCCAACCUGAGUCCAUUCUGUGUGUGUGUGUGUGAUAACCCCGCUUGCAGCUGAGCAUAAAGGAAAUAGAAUUGCCUUGGGUUCGUUAGCACAAAGCCAGCCACACAGCUUGGUCCUAGCACAAAACCCACAGCUUCAGAGAUAGCUUGGAAAUGUGUUGAGAAAGUCAUGCUGGAAAGCAGCCAAAGCACUGCCCCCGAGAUCCAAAGAUGGAAAUACUAAAUGAUGAUCCUAUAGUUGCUUGCUUUAAAGUUCUCACCUAUGUUGGGUGCAGUCGGGUUGAUAUUACAUUGAUUGCUUGUUUAAAAGACACUGAAACCAGUGAGAUUCUGCUGGAGGAAAUACACCGACCAUUUCUGGUACGUUUAUAAAGUAUAUAUGGUUUUGAUACUGACUGCAAAGUUGAACAUCCUACAAGUCCUUACAUAAAGCCACGUAAUGGUAUUUCACACAGUCAGUAAGACUUAGAGUAAUUCUGCUAUUUCAGGUCAAUGCAGAGGAAGCUAAACACUACAAAGGAAUGGGUACACCAAACGUGCUGGAUGCACUCAGGAAAUACACGGUGAUUAAAAGAGGACAGAACUGUUUGUAGCUACCAUUCAGCUUUCAGACAGAGGACAUCACUGACCUGUCCUAUGCAUGGAAGAGGAAAAAGCAAGCUGCCUUCUUUUUCAGCUCCUAAUCUGUUUCCAACUUGGAACUGAUUGACUCCAGCUGGAUAAAGUACAACUGAGCUGCAAGAAGCUCAGACCGUGGUUUAGCUCUUCAAUAACUUGCUUCUCACUCUCACAAGGCAGGGCUGCAUACUACUCCAUCAAGUCACUGCAUUCUCUGUGAGGCUUUGGCAACUCAUAACUGCUUAAAAAUUUAAGAGAUUAUAGUGCAUUUGGCUUCAAUACAGAUUAUUGAUUUCAUAUUUUAUGAGAAAAUAUUUAAAUAAGACUUGUCUAAAAUAAAUGUAAACGUCUUUCCUCAUUUGUUCUAGGGCAGCACUGUGCACAGAGUCGAGGGAUAAUUUAGAGUUAAGGCAGUGCUGUAUCAUGCUACAACGCCAAACCCGGAGGCAUGAACAGAUGUUCAGUGAGCAUAUCUGCAAGUAAUAGUUCUGAUGUACUCCAGAAACUGGUUCUUUGUACAUGUACAUACGAGUAGUACUGUGUGCAUCAUAUUCCUGUCCCCUUCCAUGCUUCCUUGUGAAAGAGGCUGAUCAAAACCAGACUUCCAUCUGCACAUUCUGAAGGUAUUCUAUUGGUGGCAAUCCAGGUCUGACUGCUAUUUUGUUUUGUGGGGUCUCAGUCCCUUUCCUGAUAUGACCUGAUGUAAUAGGGGAAAGACGAUAGAAUCCUUUGGUAAGGAAGCCAGCAACUUAAGCAAUUCCUUAACAACUUUACAGUUCCAAGAAACAGGUAACAUUGAAAACAACAGAGGAGGCAAUGCCUGGUUUGCCAGCAGUCUGUCACCCUGACCAACUUCAACAAUCUUGAAGAUGUCAGCUUUGGAAAUAUUACCGCUCAUUCCAAAAUGAAACUCUGAACAUGCUAAACACGAAUCUGACUUGGAAGGGAUUUUCCUUCUUUGUUAUCUCUGGGCAACCCCUCCUGAAAAACUGAAAGGAAACCAAAACAAAAACCAACCCAACACACCUUCUUAACAAAAUUAAACAGGCAUAAGCGGUGGGCUUUAAGUAUGGUUCAACUUUGCAGUAUUUGUGAGCAAAACAAUAAGAUGGUAGCUGUAUUUAACACAUCCUUUCCGUUGAGAACAUGCUUCGGGUGAAAAGAGCAUUAUAGUGUUGACAAAUGAGAUUCAUUUAAUUAACAAACACUGCUGCAAAACAUUUUCAGAACUGGUUUUGAUAGUGUUAAUGACAGCCAUUUUUAUACUGGAGUAAUUUCCUAAGGAAAGCCAUCAAAACAUGGGAAACCAUCAGUCUCCUAUUCAAUAAAGGUGGCAAAAUAAAAUGGAGAAAUCUCAGUGCUGCUUGAGUGCAGAAUCUUAUGUUUGUCUUGAUGAAUUGCAUCUUGUUGUUUGGGAGACGGCCUCCCUGUAGUUGAGGUAUUCAGUAUAAUCCUGUUUUCUGGCAUCACUUGUAAUACUGCUUUUCUUGCAUCUUCCUUUUUUUUUUUUAUUAUUAUGAAAGAAUUCUGUGCAAUUCAAAAUCUGAAGAGAGUUUUUUGUGCAUCUUGCCUACGUCAUUAUCUGUGUUUCCACUGAAUAAAUCCUGAAGGCUGUAAGAAACAAAUGUUGAGUUCUACUGUAUUUAUUUAGAAAGAAUGAGUAGCCUCAUCUGAUCUACAUUCCAGCACACACAAAGGCAGUAUAAAGCAUAUUACCACUGUAAUAUGCUUGUGUUAGUAUAGCAAAACACACAUUUUUUACUGAAACAUACUUGUGAAACUUGAAGAUUAUUUACUCCCCAAAUGAAAUCUAUGUUUUACCUGUUGUUUUUGCUGGAGUUGUGCUUGCCCUGAUAAGCAAAAUACUACAUAGACAAACAGGUGUCCCUGCUCCCAAAACUUACACAAGAGAGUCACGGACAUACUAGAGGGAGCCUAACAAAGGUCCACAAAGAUGCUUCUAAGAGUAACCUUUCUUGUAAGAAAGUUCCUGCUGCAGCCAUCUGCUCCUUCUUAGAGCUACGUCAUGUUAAAUCCUUGUGUACACUGGGGCAGUGCUCAUGGCAUUGAGACAUACAAGGUUUUCCAAGUAAUCAACCAUCUUGAUAUGAGCUUUGUAAUAAUGUGGAAGACCCUCACAUUUUCUCUUUGGAUUCCCAAUCCACAUUUCUUUUUAAGGUUAGGGAGAAGAAGAAGAAAAAAAAAGUGAAUAACGUGGUUACAUUUGUCAGUUAAUGUUUCUCUUCUAACUUCCAGCUGACAUAUUUCUAUACACUCAGCUGAACAACCUUUUCUAGCUGAUUUCACUGACACAACACAGACCUCGAUCCUGAAAAUGUCCAUUUAUUUUAUUUCACAAGCCUAAGCAACCCUAUAGACUUGAAAAGAACAACUUGGACAAGGGUUUACUCAAUAGGAAAUGUUAAAUUUUUUCAGGAACAGAACUAUCUUGCUUGGGACAGAUGUAAGAAUAUGAAAUUUAAAUACUCAAGAAUGCUGUUUACAUGAAAGAAGCCCUAAGAAUAUUUAGCAAGAAGUAAAAAUGAAAAGAAGAAACUGAAACUCUUAAGUCAGAGGGAAUAUUUAAGUGCUGGACGAGGCACAGAAAACAGAAAAAUUCUUAUUUACAGCAAAAAUUGCUAAAAUAAAAGUCUUCUCUAAACUAAGUCCUUUUGUUUUCCGUUCUCAAACUACUUAUACAGAAAGUAUUUUGAGUACGGUCAACCUCAACUUGCAUGUCCAAAACAUGCCUCAAAUAGCAAAGAUAUUAUCCAUUUGAUAAUAAAGAGGAAAGGAAGGAAAGCUACCUUAGUGGAAGUUUAUUUCAGAGCCCUUAGAAGAUUAAUAUCUGGUUGAUAAAGUCAGGUAAGACUCACACAACCCCACACCCUCUUUGAAAUAAAGCUGAAGAUUUGAUCAAUUAGACGGGAUGAAUCUGUGCUAUCACUGAAAAAGCAGACAGGACUUAAUGACAAACAAACUCAUGCACACUUUGGUCUGCAUGCCUCCUUCCAGAAUUUCUUGUUAAGUUAGCAGAUCUUAAAGCAAAGCGAUACCCUUUCUCUGCUCAACCUCCUGUUUUCUUUGAGGACUUAAUAGGCCUUGACUUUCACUAAGUAGUAGAGCAUCUGCAUACACUUUCAGAGUAUGGAUAAUCUUGUUAUUUGUACCUGGGACCCAGCUCUGCUUCUCCAAACAGGCUAUUUUGAC
Coturnix japonica (Japanese quail) is the source of this 3843-nucleotide non-coding RNA. The record is from RefSeq and is a predicted model, not a curated record. Lineage: Eukaryota; Metazoa; Chordata; Aves; Galliformes; Phasianidae.